UACGUAGGUGGCAAGCGUUGUCCGGACUUACUGGGCGUAAAGGAUGCGUAGGCGGAUAUUUAAGUCAGAUGUGAAAUACCCGAGCUUAACUUGGGUGCUGCAUUUGAAACUGGAUAUCUAGAGUGUGGGAGAGGAAAGUGGAAUUCCUAGUGUAGCGGUGAAAUGCGUAGAGAUUAGGAAGAACACCAGUGGCGAAGGCGACUUUCUGGACCAUAACUGACGCUGAGGCAUGAAAGCGUGGGGAGCAAACAGG
Molecule: ribosomal RNA, 253 nt
Filed under: uncultured bacterium
Lineage: Bacteria
Description: partial 16S ribosomal RNA
Rfam family: Bacterial small subunit ribosomal RNA
Source: RNAcentral